Molecule: ribosomal RNA, 253 nt
Filed under: uncultured bacterium
Lineage: Bacteria
Description: partial 16S ribosomal RNA
Rfam family: Bacterial small subunit ribosomal RNA
Source: RNAcentral
UACGAGGACCCCGAGCGUUAUCCGGAAUUACUGGGCGUAAAACGUGAGCAUCCGGUCAUGCUAGUCCAAUGUUAAAUCUCAUUGCUCAACGAUGAGACCGCGUUGGAAACGGCACGACUAGAGCGGGUAAGAGGCAGACGGAACGUGCAGUGUAGGGGUGAAAUCCAUUGAUAUUGCACGGAACACCAAAAGCGAAAGCAGUCUGCUAGUGCUCUGCUGACGGUCAAUCACUAAAGCGUGGGGAUCAAAAAGG